RNAcentral lists this ribosomal RNA (624 nucleotides) under Flavobacterium sp. So2Pw_1406. Its description in RNAcentral is "bacterial SSU rRNA". It matches the Rfam family "Bacterial small subunit ribosomal RNA", at positions 391 to 1016 of the family's 1533-position model. The record is from RNAcentral. Lineage: Bacteria; Pseudomonadati; Bacteroidota; Flavobacteriia; Flavobacteriales; Flavobacteriaceae.
GCCAUGCCGCGUGCAGGAUGACGGUCCUAUGGAUUGUAAACUGCUUUUAUACGAGAAGAAACACUGCUUCGUGAAGCAGCUUGACGGUAUCGUAAGAAUAAGGAUCGGCUAACUCCGUGCCAGCAGCCGCGGUAAUACGGAGGAUCCAAGCGUUAUCCGGAAUCAUUGGGUUUAAAGGGUCCGUAGGCGGUUUAAUAAGUCAGUGGUGAAAGCCCAUCGCUCAACGGUGGAACGGCCAUUGAUACUGUUAAACUUGAAUUAUUAGGAAGUAACUAGAAUAUGUAGUGUAGCGGUGAAAUGCUUAGAGAUUACAUGGAAUACCAAUUGCGAAGGCAGGUUACUACUAAUGGAUUGACGCUGAUGGACGAAAGCGUGGGUAGCGAACAGGAUUAGAUACCCUGGUAGUCCACGCCGUAAACGAUGGAUACUAGCUGUUGGAAGCAAUUUCAGUGGCUAAGCGAAAGUGAUAAGUAUCCCACCUGGGGAGUACGUUCGCAAGAAUGAAACUCAAAGGAAUUGACGGGGGCCCGCACAAGCGGUGGAGCAUGUGGUUUAAUUCGAUGAUACGCGAGGAACCUUACCAAGGCUUAAAUGUAGAUUGACCGAUUUGGAAACAGAUCUUUC